GGGUGAGUAACACGUGGGCAACCUGCCCGCAAGACCGGGAUAACUCCGGGAAACCGGAGCUAAUACCGGAUAACACCAAAGACCGCAUGGUCUUUGGUUGAAAGGCGGCUUCGGCUGUCACUUGCGGAUGGGCCCGCGGCGCAUUAGCUAGUUGGUGAGGUAACGGCUCACCAAGGCGACGAUGCGUAGCCGGCCUGAGAGGGUGACCGGCCACACUGGGACUGAGACACGGCCCAGACUCCUACGGGAGGCAGCAGUAGGGAAUCUUCCGCAAUGGACGAAAGUCUGACGGAGCGACGCCGCGUGAGCGAAGAAGGCCUUCGGGUCGUAAAGCUCUGUUGUGAGGGACGAAGGAGCGCCGUUUGAAUAAGGCGGCGCGGUGACGGUACCUCACGAGAAAGCCCCGGCUAACUACGUGCCAGCAGCCGCGGUAAUACGUAGGGGGCGAGCGUUGUCCGGAAUUAUUGGGCGUAAAGCGCGCGCAGGCGGUCCUUUAAGUCUGAUGUGAAAGCCCACGGCUCAACCGUGGAGGGUCAUUGGAAACUGGGGGACUUGAGUGCAGGAGAGGAGAGCGGAAUUCCACGUGUAGCGGUGAAAUGCGUAGAGAUGUGGAGGAACACCAGUGGCGAAAGCGGCUCUCUGGCCUGUAACUGACGCU
Molecule: ribosomal RNA, 658 nt
Filed under: Geobacillus sp.
Lineage: Bacteria; Bacillati; Bacillota; Bacilli; Caryophanales; Anoxybacillaceae
Description: bacterial SSU rRNA
Rfam family: Bacterial small subunit ribosomal RNA
Source: RNAcentral